RNAcentral lists this antisense RNA (169 nucleotides) under Vibrio aestuarianus. Its description in RNAcentral is "V_AS7". It matches the Rfam family "Vibrio RNA AS7". Rfam says of the family: Identified by direct cloning an parallel sequencing experiments with 5S/tRNA depletion. Confirmed by Northern blot. The record is from RNAcentral. Lineage: Bacteria; Pseudomonadati; Pseudomonadota; Gammaproteobacteria; Vibrionales; Vibrionaceae.
GGCGUUUGAAGUAGAAGAUUACCGCGUUCUUUGAUGUCUCCACCGAUAUGAUACGGCAACCCGCAAUUAGCGAACGAAACGAAAGGGCCUCUUUCAAACAUAAUGAUUUGUGCAUCUUCACUAAGACGUCUUGCACGAGCUGCUGCUGAUGCGCCACCUGCAACACCGC